GGAUGAGGACACUGUUGGUAAAGGAUGUCACGAGGAAGAGUUACCUUUACCUGAGACUCAACAUGUCAAGCUAGUGGACUUAGGAAAGUCAAAAAAUAACUUGAGUGAGAGUAAACUAAAUUCUGACAUCAGUAGGGGAUGUAGGACCUCGGGGUCUCGUGCUGUUACCGGACAUUUGAAUACGCCAUUCAAGUGUGACCUAUCGACGCCCCAACCGAAGCUAAGGCUCAGCAGACAACCAGUUAGUUGCACCACUGAAACGAGUUCCUCGUCUUCUUUGACUUCAAAGUCAACCGCAAUCGAAGAUAUCCCGUUAGACGAUAUUCUUGAUCGGUUGAAAAACAGCCUGAUAAUUCAAAAUGAAGCAUUAUUUCCUAAUAAAAAUUGGGAGACGGAACUAAGGCGAGAACUCCAGGAAACCUAUUAUUCCGUGUAAAAUGUUGUUUUUUGUCUUUUGAAUAUUCUGUUCUUAUGUUCAUUUUGAUUAAUGAAGGUGUCCGUAAUGAAUUUUCUACUGAUCAGCACGUUCACCACUACACGUUUUGUUAUUCUCUUGAAGACUGUAUUCAUAAAACCUAUUUGUUGU
Limulus polyphemus (Atlantic horseshoe crab) is the source of this 586-nucleotide long non-coding RNA. RefSeq lists it as uncharacterized. NCBI's taxonomy places the organism in Eukaryota, Metazoa, Arthropoda, Merostomata, Xiphosura, Limulidae. The transcript is spliced from 4 exons. The record is from RefSeq and is a predicted model, not a curated record.